GUAGCGYGGCGAGCGUUGUCCGGAUUUAUUGGGUUUAAAGGGUGCGUAGGCGGCCCUGUAAGUCAGCGGUGAAAUACGGCAGCUCAACUGUCGAGGUGCCGUUGAUACUGCGGGGCUUGAGUGCUGAUGAGGCAGGCGGAAUUGACGGUGUAGCGGUGAAAUGCUUAGAUAUCGUCAAGAACACCGAUAGCGAAGGCAGCCUGCCAAGGAGCAACUGACGCUGAGGCACGAAAGUGCGGGGAUCAAACAGGAUUAGAUACCCUGGUAGUCCGCACAGUAAACGAUGGUCACUCGAUGUCGGCGAUACACUGCCGGCGUCUUAGCGAAAGCGAUAAGUGACCCACCUGGGGAGUACGCCCGCAAGGGUG
This 368-nucleotide ribosomal RNA is filed under the name uncultured bacterium. Its description in RNAcentral is "bacterial SSU rRNA". It matches the Rfam family "Bacterial small subunit ribosomal RNA", at positions 526 to 896 of the family's 1533-position model. The record is from RNAcentral.